CCAGACUCCUACGGGAGGCAGCAGUGAGGAAUAUUGGUCAAUGGGCGAGAGCCUGAACCAGCCAAGUCGCGUGAAGGAAGACAGUCCUAAGGAUUGUAAACUUCUUUUAUACGGGAAUAACGGGCGAUACGAGUAUUGCAUUGAAUGUACCGUAAGAAUAAGCAUCGGCUAACUCCGUGCCAGCAGCCGCGGUAAUACGGAGGAUGCGAGCGUUAUCCGGAUUUAUUGGGUUUAAAGGGUGCGUAGGUUGUUCGGUAAGUCAGCGGUGAAACCUGAGCGCUCAACGUUCAGCCUGCCGUUGAAACUGCCGGGCUUGAGUUCAGUGGCGGCAGGCGGAAUUCGUGGUGUAGCGGUGAAAUGCAUAGAUAUCACGAGGAACUCCGAUUGCGAAGGCAGCUUGCCAUACUGCGACUGACACUGAAGCACGAAGGCGUGGGUAUCAAACAGGAUUAGAUACCCUGGUAGUCCACGCAGUAAACGAUGAUUACUAGGAGUUUGCGAUAUACCGUCAAGCUUCCACAGCGAAAGCGUUAAGUAAUCCACCUGGGGAGUACGCCGGCAACGGUGAAACUCAAAGGAAUUGACGGGGGCCCCGCACAAG
This 601-nucleotide ribosomal RNA is filed under the name uncultured bacterium. RNAcentral describes it as "bacterial SSU rRNA". It matches the Rfam family "Bacterial small subunit ribosomal RNA", at positions 331 to 929 of the family's 1533-position model. The record is from RNAcentral.